GUGAGGAAUAUUGGUCAAUGGACGGAAGUCUGAACCAGCCAUGCCGCGUGCAGGAAUAAGGUCCUAUGGAUUGUAAACUGCUUUUAUUCGGGAAUAAACCUCUUUACGUGUAGGGAGCUGAAGGUACCGAAGGAAUAAGCACCGGCUAACUCCGUGCCAGCAGCCGCGGUAAUACGGAGGGUGCAAGCGUUAUCCGGAAUCAUUGGGUUUAAAGGGUCCGCAGGCGGGCUAUCAAGUCAGAGGUGAAAUCCCACAGCUUAACUGUGGAACUGCCUUUGAAACUGAUGGUCUUGAAUUAAGUGGGCGUUGGCGGAAUAUGACAUGUAGCGGUGAAAUGCAUAGAUAUGUCAUGGAACACCGAAAGCGAAGGCAGCUAACGAUACUUAUAUUGACGCUCAUGGACGAAAGCGUGGAUAGCGAACAGGAUUAGAUACCCGGGUAGUCC
RNAcentral lists this ribosomal RNA (445 nucleotides) under uncultured bacterium. Its description in RNAcentral is "partial 16S ribosomal RNA". It matches the Rfam family "Bacterial small subunit ribosomal RNA", at positions 354 to 796 of the family's 1533-position model. The record is from RNAcentral.